AUGAGUGUUUUAUGGGUUGCAAAUCUAUGUGUUAUCGGAACAUUAAUAUUAGUUGUUGAAAAAUAUCUAGCAAUGACUCGGCCAAUAUGGUCUCUGUUGUUUUGCAACAGUUAUCUGAAGACUCUAGGUCGUUUGCAACUAAUUGAAUGCAAAAUUCUGAAGAAACAAAGUGCUUUGAAACGUAUUCAUCUAACCUCAUCUUCAAGCACAUUCUCGUACUUGCAUACCGGCAAUGAGUGUUGAUCAAUUCUAUUGUAAAUCUUUCCUUCUGGAAACCCAGGUACAGCCUCUAAAUUUUAUUUGUACAUUUUUGUGAUGUAAAUAUACAGCUACCAGGAUAAGCAAGAGUAAUUUCCUUGCUCUUGUAUUUUCUUUGAAUUUUAAGCAGGGAUUUUCUGGUUUUUACCAUCAGGUAAUAGAUCGUUUGUGCAUGUUGUAGAGUAUUCUAUGCUUAAAAAAUUGACGUAAUUAGUCAGAUGUGUCUAAAUGACAAAUUUUUACCGCUUAGUAUCAUUGUAAAAGGUAUCUUAUCCCUUCUAAAAGUAUGUUAUCUGACGUCAUCUACCAUAAUAGCACAUAGAGUAGUUUCUUCCACCUAACUCUCAUCAAUGUUGCACAUAGAGUGAACAUUGCAAAUAUGUGCUCAGCUAAUGGACCAUUAGACAAGGUACGAAUUUAAGCAUUCUGAUACAUUUUUCUUAACCAGAAUUUCACGUAUAACACGAUUCGCGCAAUGAAAAUUACUGAAACCAACUCCUAACGGAGAUAUUAACAUUUUUAUUUCACAUUGGUUACAAGGAAUUUGAACUGCCCGCUCACAAGAAACUCAAAGCUCUACGUAAGUCAAAUCGCGCACUACAACGGUUUCAGCAAGCUUUUCAAUCGAGCAAUGUCCAUUUCACACCAUGUGUUUUUCAAACUAAAAGUAAUUUGCUAUAGCUGAGCCAAAGCGUCAAGCUUGAGGUUACCAGAUCGUUUUAUCGCAGAGACGUUCAUGAUAACGUUUAGCGCUCUAUGUGAAUCACGCAGAGCAUUGAGUUUUCAUGAGCGGGUGGUUUCAAUUCAAGCACCAAGAAUCAUUAAAUAUCUUCGGAAGGAGUUGAUUACGGUAAUGUUUGUUGUGCACAUCGUGUUUUACGUGGAAUUUUGGUGAAGAAACAUGUAUCAGAAUGCUGAAAUUCUUACCUUGUCUAGUGGGCCAUUGCACUGCAUUUUGCAAUUAAGAAGCAUAAUUUCUGGCUCUUCCGUAAAAACACUUAUGUGCUUGGGGAAACUAAAGGGUGCAUACGUAGUUUGUAAACUGAGCGAGAAUUUGUAGUUCCUGAUUGAAAAAUAUAGUCCAGCUGAUGGCCUAAGGAGGAAAAAACGGUAAUAUGCGUUUUUACUGAGAAUAAUGUAAUGCAUCGUCUUUUUCAGAGGGGGUACCUCUGUCAUCACAUGACGUGAAAACUUGAUGUUGGGACAGUUCUCAUUAUUUUUCUGUAUCCUGCAAUCAGAGCAAGAUUCACCAGUAUGCUCAACUGAUCUGUUCAUAAAUAAAAAGAAAAUCGUCAAGUUCUAAACAGCCCGAAACUCAAACAGUGAAACUUUUAAAAUGAAAAAUCUGCAUGGGCAAGGAAUUUCCUUUUGCUUAUCAUGGUAUGUGUACUUCUAGUUUAUAGGGACCUUUAAAUUUUUGUCAAUAAAUUCUUUGUAACAAAAACAAAAGGAUUGAAUAAAAUAAUUUCUAUUGAUGAAAGUUUUGUUGAAUUUUAUUGCGUCUCCAAAUUCAUUUUCAGUGCCAUAUCGAUCUGUCGGAUGAAUGUUUUAAAAUUUCACAAUUUUUAGGAAGUAUUAAAAUUAAAGCUGAGUUUCUAGCGAGUAAGUUAUACA
Molecule: long non-coding RNA, 1872 nt
Filed under: Bemisia tabaci
Lineage: Eukaryota; Metazoa; Arthropoda; Insecta; Hemiptera; Aleyrodidae
Description: lncRNA ENSSSA2NGG006471
Source: RNAcentral